RNAcentral lists this long non-coding RNA (1186 nucleotides) under Malus domestica (apple). RNAcentral's name for it is "long non-coding RNA (MDOM_LNC016258)". The record is from RNAcentral. Lineage: Eukaryota; Viridiplantae; Streptophyta; Magnoliopsida; Rosales; Rosaceae.
AAAGGUAAUUGUGGAGGGAGACUUUGGCACUGGAUUUUUGGUUAACAGUCGUCCCCAAAAUUAGCAUUGGUGAAUAAAAACUCAUUAUUUUGCAUAGUUCAAGAAUAAAUUUGUCCAGAAAUUUAUAAGAUGUUAUAUUGUAUUAAUCCUCACGAAUUAGCUCUAGCGGUGAAGGGGUAGGGUAAACGUUAUAGGAUUUGUUGAUGCAGAAAAUAAUAAGGUUUUGGAAUAAUCUAAAAUAUUAAGUUUGUGACAUUCGCAAGGUUAUUCUAGUUACCUAGUGAGGAUAAUAUGUACAGAGGUAGAGAUAGGGAAGUAAACACAAGACAUGCGUGAUUUAUCUUAAGUUGAACUUCAUCCACAAGGGUAGAUGAGUUCUCAUUAAUAUUGAAGAGUUUACACAAUACAUAUAUUCAAACAUAAUCAUCAUUAGUGAGUUCCAAUGACAAGUUUAAAUACAAUAAUGACAUUACUUCCUAAUUGUAGGAGAAUGAUUUCCUUUUAUAGUUAACGAGAGUCCUCUGCUUCUGUCCACGGUCGAUGUGAGAUUCUAAGAACUUUAUUAUGAUGUUGACACGUAUCGCGUUGUGAUUGUCUCAUGAUUUGAGAUAAACCCUUAUGCUUUGGCAGAGGUGCCUCAACAUGAAUUCUUCAAUAGGUCCCUGGACGUAUGGAGUUGUCGGUGCUCGAUAAUUUCAGGAUUGGUGAAGUAUGGUACAAACAAUACUCCUCCAAGUUCCCAAGUGAGGAAAACUUCUCAAUUAGGGACUUGUAAAACUCAAGUCACUGAGUAAUCAUAAAACUUCUGAUUACCUAAGUGUAGUACAUAUGAGGGACUAGGAUUCUCUACCCUCAUCUUUCCAUCAUCUCCUCUUACAUUCUCUAUUUUGUCUUUUUCUUUUUAUAAAAAACUAAUAAAAAAUAUUGAUAUGGUUUAACCGUAACUGUUCAAAUAAGAAAGAAAUGAAGAAGAGGAAAAAAUUGAGAGAACCAUACUCCCAUAAUGAGAGUCCCUUAAGUCUCCAAUCGAGAAGAAUAGUCUAAGGAGGUGACUUGAUUUUUGUCCAUGUGUGAAGGGGUCAAAGUUCCACCCUUUUCCUUUCCUUGCUUUUUCUAACAUGUCCCAACUUUUUUAUUUAUUUAAAGUGGGAGCCUAAAACCUUUUUUGUUCUAUCAGUUAGGUCCA